Molecule: long non-coding RNA, 718 nt
Filed under: Pan troglodytes (chimpanzee)
Lineage: Eukaryota; Metazoa; Chordata; Mammalia; Primates; Hominidae
Description: long non-coding RNA NONPTRT014004
Source: RNAcentral
CCCCCCCAAAUUUCGAUAUUGGAAUCACUUUCCUUCUUCCUCGGGCCAGCCUUUGCUCUGUCCCCUCAGGUCAACUCAAGGUAGACAGUGUGGCGACUGGAGAGGUCGGGGAACAAGCUUUGUUUCAGCUAAGGGAAAAACAAGCGUUCACAGGAGUCCCCGGACACCUCCCACUCGGGAGAUAGUUAACGGGGGUCCUGCCAACCCUUCCCAUCCAACUUCCAUCUGAAAAGGAUUUUCUGCUAAAGUUGGGUCCAUGGCCAUCCAGCACCUAUAAGGCCGGCAGGAGCGUCUGCCCUCUACUCAGUUAAAGCCUGAAGUCGUUUCCUUUCGAUGGCGCUUAGGAGGCCCAAAAGAGGGGCGACAGAACAUGAUGUGACACGGGCCGGGCGCCCCCAGAAGCCCGGGAACAAACGUUUCUACUUUCCAGGUCCACUGGUGUUUGGUGUACCCAUGUGACUAAUUUGUCCAAAGAGAGAUUUCUGUGAAUAGACCAGAAGCCGACCUUUACAGUGUGUUUGGGUGCAGGUGAGGCUGAUUUGAGGCAAAUGUGCUUUACAGAUCUACAAUCUUGUACCUCACUCUGGCUGAAGCACCAGUCCCCAAGUGCAGACUUCUUGCCUGUUUCCCGUGUAACACUGUCCAACUCUGAAGGCUCCUACCCUGACCUUGGCCCUUGCUAUUUUCUUCAGUGGUUCUGAUGAUGGAAGAAUCAGAA